Molecule: RNase P RNA, 327 nt
Filed under: Microcoleus sp. SIO2G3
Lineage: Bacteria; Bacillati; Cyanobacteriota; Cyanophyceae; Oscillatoriales; Microcoleaceae
Description: partial RNase P RNA component class A
Rfam family: Bacterial RNase P class A
About the family: Ribonuclease P (RNase P) is a ubiquitous endoribonuclease, found in archaea, bacteria and eukarya as well as chloroplasts and mitochondria. Its best characterised activity is the generation of mature 5'-ends of tRNAs by cleaving the 5'-leader elements of precursor-tRNAs.
Source: RNAcentral
UCCCAAAUGACCACACCUGCUGGGUAAUGCCCAGUGCGGGUGACCGUGAGGAUAGUGCCACAGAAACAUACCGCCUUCGGGUAAGGGUGCAAAGGUGCGGUAAGAGCGCACCAGCAGCAUCGAGAGGUGCUGGCUCGGUAAACCCCGGUGGGGAGUAAGGUAGAAGGAGCAAGGGUUGGUCGUUUUCCUGUUCCAAGCAGAAAAAGCAAUGCUUUUUUUGUGCAUCCGCUGGAGGCAUUUGGUAACAAAUGUCCAAGAUAGAUAACUGCCCUGAUGCCGAGUUUCCUCUGCAUCAGAACAGAACCCGGCUUAUGUCCGCCUCUUUCC